GGGCCGGGCCGGCACCGCAGUCUCCGCACGACCCGACGCACUUCCUCCCGCCCCAAGGACGCCGCAGCCGGUUGGGUAGCUGCGCGAGUCGGCCAUAAGGACGGGCGCCGGAAGGUGGCCAGUGGCGUUCCCCCGUGUUCGUCGCUGGUCGUUAUCCAGCUCGUCCGUGGCGCGACACCCGACCGAGGUCGAAGGGUCCCGGUUAGGACCUUGCCGUCCCCUCCCCCGUGGUAGAGCGGGCGCUCCAGCAGGCGAUUGCCCCUGCGGUCGAACCACUCUUCGAGUGGCCGGUCCUCGGGUGGCGCCGUUGGUGAGGAUGCGUCCCGCGCGGGGUUCGGAAGGCUCGCGGCGAGUAGGUCGGUCACCCACCCGACCCGUCUUGAAACACGGACCAAGGAGUCUAACAUGUGCGCGAGUCACGGGGUCUUGUUCAGGCCCAGAGGCGCAAUGAAAGUGAAGGUCGGCCUCGAUGCCGACCGCGUUGGGACUCUCC
This 493-nucleotide ribosomal RNA is filed under the name Acanthognathus sp. ACAVI1. RNAcentral describes it as "eukaryotic LSU rRNA". Lineage: Eukaryota; Metazoa; Arthropoda; Insecta; Hymenoptera; Formicidae. The record is from RNAcentral.